UGUAGGACACUCUAUACGGAGUUACAAAAGAAAGUUAUAAAUGAAGCGGUCUGGAAAGGCCCGCCAAAGACGGUAACAGCCCGGUAGUUGAAAUGGCUUUCCCUCCAGAGUGGAUCCUGAGUACGGCGGAACACGUGAAAUUCCGUCGGAAUCCGGGAGGACCAUCUCCCAAGGCUAAAUACUCCCUAGUGACCGAUAGUGAACCAGUACCGUGAGGGAAAGGUGAAAAGCACCCCGGAAGGGGAGUGAAACAGUUCCUGAAACCGUGUGCCUACAAGUAGUUAGAGCCCGUUAAUGGGUGAUAGCGUGCCUUUUGUAGAAUGAACCGGCGAGUUACGAUUUGUUGCAAGGUUAAGCGGAAAAAGCGGAGCCGUAGCGAAAGCGAGUCUGAAUAGGGCGCAUAAGUAACAGGUCGUAGACCCGAAACCAGGUGAUCUACCCAUGUCCAGGAUGAAGGUAAGGUAAUACUUACUGGAGGUCCGAACCCACGCACGUUGAAAAGUGCGGGGAUGAGGUGUGGGUAGCGGAGAAAUUCCAAUCGAACUUGGAGAUAGCUGGUUCUCUCCGAAAUAGCUUUAGGGCUAGCCUCGAGGUAAAGAGUCAUGGAGGUAGAGCACUGUUUGGACUAGGGGCCCUUCUCGGGUUACCGAAUUCAGAUAAACUCCGAAUGCCAUGUACUUAUACUCGGGAGUCAGACUGCGAGUGAUAAGAUCCGUAGUCGAAAGGGAAACAGCCCAGACCACCAGUUAAGGUCCCCAAAUAUAUGUUAAGUGGAAAAGGAUGUGGGGUUGCUUAGACAACCAGGAUGUUGGCUUAGAAGCAGCCACCAUUGAAAGAGUGCGUAAUAGCUCACUGGUCGAGUGACCCCGCGCCGAAAAUGUACCGGGGCUAAACAUAUUACCGAAACUGUGGAUGAACCUCAUUAGAGGUUCGUGGUAGGAGAGCGUUCUAAGGGCGGUGAAGUCAGACCGGAAGGACUGGUGGAGCGCUUAGAAGUGAGAAUGCCGGUAUGAGUAGCGAAAGAAGGGUGAGAAUCCCUUCCACCGAAUAUCUAAGGUUUCCUGAGGAAGGCUCGUCCGCUCAGGGUUAGUCGGGACCUAAGCCGAGGCCGAUAGGCGUAGGCGAUGGACAACAGGUAGAGAUUCCUGUACCAGUGCUAAUUGUUUAACCGAUGGGGUGACACAGAAGGAUAGGGAAUCGCACGAAUGGAAAUGUGCGUCCAAGCAGUGAGUGUGAG
RNAcentral lists this ribosomal RNA (1237 nucleotides) under Listeria monocytogenes. RNAcentral's name for it is "partial 23S ribosomal RNA". It matches the Rfam family "Bacterial large subunit ribosomal RNA", at positions 296 to 1529 of the family's 2925-position model. Lineage: Bacteria; Bacillati; Bacillota; Bacilli; Caryophanales; Listeriaceae. The record is from RNAcentral.